GUGGGGAAUAUUGGACAAUGGGCGCAAGCCUGAUCCAGCCAUGCCGCGUGUGUGAAGAAGGCCUUCGGGUUGUAAAGCACUUUUGUCCGGGAAGAAAUCUUCCAGGUUAAUACCCUGGGAGGCUGACGGUACCGGAAGAAUAAGCACCGGCUAACUUCGUGCCAGCAGCCGCGGUAAUACGAAGGGUGCAAGCGUUACUCGGAAUUACUGGGCGUAAAGCGUGCGUAGGUGGUUCGUUAAGUCUGCCGUGAAAGCCCCGGGCUCAACCUGGGAAUGGCGGUGGAUACUGGCGGGCUAGAGUGCGGUAGAGGGUGGUGGAAUUCCCGGUGUAGCAGUGAAAUGUGUAGAGAUCGGGAGGAACAUCUGUGGCGAAGGCGGCCACCUGGACCAGCACUGACACUGAGGCACGAAAGCGUGGGGAGCAAACAGGAUUAGAUACCCCUGUAGUCC
RNAcentral lists this ribosomal RNA (450 nucleotides) under uncultured bacterium. RNAcentral's name for it is "bacterial SSU rRNA". It matches the Rfam family "Bacterial small subunit ribosomal RNA", at positions 354 to 796 of the family's 1533-position model. The record is from RNAcentral.